This 1386-nucleotide ribosomal RNA is filed under the name uncultured marine bacterium. Its description in RNAcentral is "bacterial SSU rRNA". It matches the Rfam family "Bacterial small subunit ribosomal RNA". The record is from RNAcentral.
GAGUUUGAUCCUGGCUCAGGAUGAACGCUAGCGGCAGGCUUAACACAUGCAAGUCGAGGGGUAACGGGGAAGCUUGCUUCCGCCGACGACCGGCGCACGGGUGCGUAACGCGUAUACAAUCUACCUUAUACUGGGGUAUAGCCUUUAGAAAUGAAGAUUAACCCCCCAUAGUCUCUUAGAGUGGCAUCACUUCUAGAGUAAAGGUUACGGUAUAAGAUGAGUAUGCGUUCUAUUAGUUUGUUGGUAAGGUAACGGCUUACCAAGACUACGAUAGAUAGGGGCCCUGAGAGGGGGAUCCCCCACACAGGUACUGAGACACGGACCAGACUCCUACGGGAGGCAGCAGUGAGGAAUAUUGGACAAUGGAGGCAACUCUGAUCCAGCCAUGCCGCGUGUAGGAUGACUGCCCUAUGGGUUGUAAACUACUUUUAUACAGGAAGAAACACCUCUACGUGUAGAGGCUUGACGGUACUGUAAGAAUAAGGAUCGGCUAACUCCGUGCCAGCAGCCGCGGUAAUACGGAGGAUCCAAGCGUUAUCCGGAAUCAUUGGGUUUAAAGGGUCCGUAGGUGGAUAAUUAAGUCAGAGGUGAAAUCUUGCAGCUCAACUGUAAAAUUGCCUUUGAUACUGGUUAUCUUGAGUUAUUAUGAAGUAGUUAGAAUAUGUAGUGUAGCGGUGAAAUGCAUAGAUAUUACAUAGAAUACCAAUUGCGAAGGCAGAUUACUAAUAAUCAACUGACACUGAUGGACGAAAGCGUGGGUAGCGAACAGGAUUAGAUACCCUGGUAGUCCACGCCGUAAACGAUGGUUACUAGCUGUUUGGACUUCGGUCUGAGUGGCUAAGCGAAAGUGAUAAGUAACCCACCUGGGGAGUACGUUCGCAAGAAUGAAACUCAAAGGAAUUGACGGGGGCCCGCACAAGCGGUGGAGCAUGUGGUUUAAUUCGAUGAUACGCGAGGAACCUUACCAGGGCUUAAAUGUAAGUUGCAUUAGUUAGAGAUAGCUAUUUCUUCGGACCACUUACAAGGUGCUGCAUGGUUGUCGUCAGCUCGUGCCGUGAGGUGUCAGGUUAAGUCCUAUAACGAGCGCAACCCCUGUUGUUAGUUGCCAGCGAUUCAAGUCGGGAACUCUAACAAGGCUGCCAGUGCAAACUGUGAGGAAGGUGGGGAUGACGUCAAAUCAUCACGGCCCUUACGUCCUGGGCUACACACGUGCUACAAUGGUAGGGACAGAGAGCAGCCACUACGCGAGUAGGAGCGAAUCUAUAAACCCUAUCACAGUUCGGAUCGGAGUCUGCAACUCGACUCCGUGAAGCUGGAAUCGCUAGUAAUCGGAUAUCAGCCAUGAUCCGGUGAAUACGUUCCCGGGCCUUGUACUCACCGCCCGUC